GUAAAAGCUUUUAGUGGAUACCUAGGCACCCAGAGACGACGAAGGGCGUAGCGGUAAAGGACGAAAUGCUUCGGGGAGUUUAAACUAAGCAUUGAUCCGUAGAUUCCCGAAUAGGGAAACCUUUUUAACUAUAUGCUGAAUUAAUGGGCAUAAAAGAGAUAACUUAGCGAACUGAAACAUCUUAGUAGCUGAAGGAAAAUAAAGCAAUAAGCGAUUUCCGAAGUAGUGGUGAGCGAAAUGGAAGUAGCCUAAACCGUCAAAGGGGUUGUGGGGGAGCAACCAAAAAAUUUAAAUAUUUAAGCGAAGCAGCGGAGUACUGUACCAUAGAUGGUGAGAGUCCAGUAGAAUAAUAUCUAAUUAACUUCAGCUCUAACCCAAGUAGCAUGGGAUAAGUUCAAAUACCGUGCGAAUCCGCAAGGACCACCUUGCAAGGCUAAAUACUCUUUGGGUGACCAAUAGCAAAGUAAGUACCGUGAGGGAAAGGUGAAAAGAGCCCUCUUUUAGGGGAGUGAAAUAGAGCAUGAAACUGCAAGCUUUCAAGCAGUGGGAGGAAUUUAUUAUAUCUGACCGCGUGCCUUUUGAAGAAUGAGCCGACGACUCAUAUGCAGUGGCUUGGUUAAGGUAAAAUAACCGUAUCCGUAGCAAAAGCGAGUCUUAAAAGGGCAACAAUUGUCAUUGUUUAUGGACCCGAACCUGGGUGAUCUAUCUAUGACCAGGAUGAAUCCUGGUUAAAACUAAGUUGAGGUCCAAAUCAACUGAUGUUGAAAAAUCAGUGGAUGAGUUAUGGUUAGGGGUGUAAUGCCACUCGAACCCAAAGCUAGUUGGUUCUCCCCGAAAUGCGUUGAGGACAGCAGUUGACUGUAUAUCUAGGGAUAAAGCAUUGUUUCAAUUGGGGCCACAUAAUAGUGUUGCCACAUCUAGACAAACUCUGAAUACUAGAUAUUUAUACAAAAGAUUAAUUGAUUAAGGUCAACUAGUGAGAUAGUAAGGGAUAGGCUUCAUUGUCAAAAGGGAAACAACCCAGAUCACCAGAUAAGGCCCCUAAAUGACUGCUCAGUGAUAAAGGAAGUGGGAGUGCAUAGAUAACCAGAAGCGAUCUGCCGAAGCUGUGAGAUUUUUUAAAGUUUUAUAUCUUAUUAGAUCUUGAACGUAAUAUAAAAAUUAUCAGUAGGGGAGCGUUCCGCCUUAGAGAGAAAUACCUCGCUUAAGCAGGUGGUAGACGAAGCGGAAGUGAGAAUGUCAGCUUGAGUAACGAAAACAUUGGUGAGAAUCCAAUGCCCCGAAAACCUAAGGGUUCCUCCAUAAAGGUCGUCUAGGGAGGGUUAGUCAGGGCCUAAGAUCAUGUCAAAAGGCACAAUCGGUGGCUAACAGGUAAAUAUUCAUGUAUUAUCCUUUUUGUUAUUGAGGGACGGAGGAGGCUAGGUUAUCCAAAAAUUAUGGUUAUUGGUUUAAAGGGUAAGGAUAAAUUCAUUAAAUAUGGGUCAUAAGGGGUAGAGUAAAUAUCUCGAACUAAUACCUGAAUAAUAAGUGCUAUUUUGUUCUUAAGGCUUAAGUAACUAAUGUCAUACUCCCAGGAAAAGCUCUAAAUAUAUUAAACAAGAAAGGAACCUGUACCCAAAACCAACACAGGUAGGUAGGUUGAGAAUACCUAGGGGCGCGAGACAACUCUCUCUAAGGAACUCGGCAAAAUAGCCCCGUAACUUCGGGAUAAGGGGUGCCUCUUAAAUAUAAGAGGUCGCAGCGGCCAGGCCCGGGCGACUGUUUACCAAAAACACAGGUCUCCGCAAAGUCGUAAAGACCAUGUAUGGGGGCUGACGCCUGCCCAGUGCCGGAAGGUUAAAGAAGUUAGUGGUCGUGAUUUACAACAGGGUAGCUGACAACCUAAGCCCCGGUGAACGGCGGCCGUAACUAUAACGGUCCUAAGGUAGCGAAAUUCCUUGUCGGGUAAGUUCCGACCCGCACGAAUGGCGUAACGAUCUGGGCGCUGUCUCGGAGAGGGACUCGGUGAAAUAGACCUGUCUGUGAAGAUGCGGACUACCUGUACCUGGACAGAAAGACCCUAUGAAGCUUUACUGUUCCCUAGGAUUGGUUUUAAGCUUUUCUUGCGCAGAUUAGGUGGAAGGCGACAAAAAUACUUCUUAUGGGAAGGAUCGAGCCAUUAUUGAGAUACCACUCUAGAAGAGCUAGAUUCCUAACCUUGUGUCAUAAAUUAUGGCCGAGGGACAUUCUCAGGUAGACAGUUUAUAUGGGGCGUAGGCCUCCUAAAAAGUAACGGAGGCGCGCAAAGGUUUCUUUGAGCCAGACGGGAAUUGGCUUUAUACGUGUAAGGGCAUAAAGAAGCUUGACUGCAAGACCCACUUGUCAAGCAGGGACGAAAGUCGGCCUUAGUGAUCCGACGGUGCCGAGUGGUAGGGCUGUCGCUCAACGGAUAAAAGUUACUCUAGGGAUAACAGGCUGAUCUUCCCCAAGAGUUCACAUCGACGGGAAGGUUUGGCACCUCGAUGUCGGCUCGUCGCCACCUGGGGCUGUAGUAGGUUCCAAGGGUUGGGUUGUUCGCCCAUUAAAGCGGUACGUGAGCUGGGUUCAGAACGUCGUGAGACAGUUCGGUCCAUAUCCGGUAUAGGCGUUAGAGCAUUGAGAGGACUUUUCCCUAGUACGAGAGGACCGGGAAGAACGCACCUCUGGUGUACCAGUUAUUGUGCCAUCAGUAAACGCUGGGUAGUCAAGUGCGGAGUGGAUAACUGCUGAAAGCAUCUAAGUAGGAAGCCCACCACAGGAUGAUUGCUCUCUUAUUUUGUCUGUUGCUUACUUUACUUUAUUAACUUAAUUGAUAAUUAUUGAUAAUUUAAGCCCAAUAUAAGGUCGCGGCGAGAUUAGCCGUUUUUAUUAUUAGUAGUUAUAUUAAUAUUAAUAAUAGGUGUUAGGUGUAAGUGCAAUGAUGUAUGUAGCUGAAGCAUCCUAAAAAAUAAAGUAAAAAAA
Molecule: ribosomal RNA, 2979 nt
Filed under: Gastrodia elata f. glauca
Lineage: Eukaryota; Viridiplantae; Streptophyta; Magnoliopsida; Asparagales; Orchidaceae
Description: bacterial LSU rRNA
Rfam family: Bacterial large subunit ribosomal RNA
Source: RNAcentral